AGCAUGAACAACAGUAAAGAGCUUAGUAGCCGUAUCCUCUGUCCCUUCAUUCAUGUUUUUUGACUAAUACACAACAAAUUGGCGACGAGGAUGGCCGUGGCUUCUACUCCUUUACCUCCCACCUUUCUUCAGUGUCCGGGAGAACCUACUAUGCCAUUUGGAACAUGGCUAAAAAUGUUUGAAAACGAUCUGCUAGUGAUCGACGUGGAAGGAGCCAAGUGGCCGGAUACCCGUGUACGUGCUACGCUGCUACACAGCGUCGGAACCGAAGCACAGAGGAUUUUCUACACAUUGACUGAAACGGGAACUACAUACAACCAUGCCGUGACUGCACUAUGGGCGCAUUUCGUGCCGAAGGUAAACGUAAUUGCGGAGAGACACAAGUUCCGCCAACGAGCCCAGAGACAUGAUGAAACAAUUGCACAGUACGUCUCUGCGCUACGUGAAAUGAUCGUUUUGUGUGCAUUUGGAAAUGCAGAACAGGAUAUGCUGCGUGAUCAGAUUGUGGAAAAAGCCUACAGUGGACGCAUACGUGAACGCUUGCUGCUAGAAGACAAACUGACACUGGAUAAAGCCAUUCAGACUGCAAAUCAGGUGGAAACGGCGGUGCGCAACGUGGCCGAGUUCUCCAACAGUGAAGUGCCUGUGAGAGAGAUCAGGGUGCCAAAAUGGGAACAAAAACUUCCCGCUACAAGUAAACAAAGGAAAGUGUUCCAGUGUAUUCUCUGAAUACCUUGAAGGCCCUGAUGGUUCGCCACUGCAUCCAACACAUCAGGACUACCAUCUACCAUCCAGAAGGAAAUGGAGAUGUGGAGAGGCUAAAUAGAGUGCUGAAGGAAAGCAUUCUCACUGCACAGAGAGAGAACGCUCCGUGGAAAGCUCACGUUGCUGAGUUUCUUCAGGUCUACAGAGCUACACCUCACGCCACUCCAGGGACAUCUCCUUUCCAGCUCAUGUAUGGAAGAAAAAUACGAACCAAACUCUCAAUCCUGCCACAGCUUACUGAUACUCAGGAUCAGGAACUGAGAGACAGAGUGGAAAAGAAACAGUGGCACAUGAAAACAUACACUGACGCAAAAAGAAAUGCCAAGAUUCCCAAAAUACAUCCGGGAAGCCUGGUGCGUGUGAGAAACCCGCUGCAUGUCAAAAAGGGAAAGCCAAAGUUCAGUGAGCCUCUGAAAGUGACCCAGCAGAAGGGACCUCACAGUUACACGCUGGAAAAACCUGGGAUGCUUCACACCUGUUGGUUCUUCCAGAAACAUUCACUCCUCCAUCAGAAGAAGGAGAGAAUGUCAACAGGCCAACUGUAGCUGGCCUGCUGAGCCAGCUACAGUUGAUGGUGCUCAGAGCAGGAACCAGCGAAUCAGAAAGCAGCCUGCUUGGAUUGAGGACUAUGUCACUUAAACUGUGGUUGAAUCAUGGGUUGAAUUCAUGUUUGAAAAUGUUCUGCAUAUUGUGAUAUGUGAAGUUGUUAUUAUUAUUAUUACAGAUGGUUACUACAGAAGUGUCUGUUUAAAAUGCUAAUGUUAUGCAUACUGUUCAAGUGGAGAAGUAACUAUUUUAAGAAGGUGGGAAAUGUUGGGUUCUGAUAUACUCCUGCCAAUAGGGGGCGCAGUGUAACCAGAGUAACAUAGAAUGUUGGGAGAAUAAGUGUAUGCCCGGGAGUUGAUGCUGUGGCGGGAAAGCAUGAACAACAGUAAAGAGCUUACCCAGCUAGAAAUGUUUGGUUCUAAAAACAUUCUGAGAAUGUUUUAUUCAUUGUUCUAGGAAUGUUUUCAGCGGGAAGUUUUCUUUUGGUUCCCAGAACGUUCUUCUGAAAGGUAGGAUAACGUUCUCUAAAAACAUUCUUAAAGUGUUUGGUGAUAACCUUCUUAAAAUGUUUUUGAUAACAUUGUUAGAACAUUAUGCCCUACUGUUCUUAAAAUGUUUUCAGCUGCAAGUUAGAUUUGUUUUUGUUGCCAGAAUGUUAUUAUUUUAGAGAAGGAUAACAUGCUUUAUGUUUAAAACGUUAUGCAAAUGUUCUGUGGUAACAAUUUACUAAAAUAUUUUUACAUUAUUAGAACAUAAAGACAUAAUAUUCCUGUAAUUGUUCAACUCAAAAUUCCUGGGUAAGUGGACUGACCACUGUGGUCAUUUGGAUGAUUUUGAUAGUUUACUUAACUAUUGGAAUCAGAUAACCUACAUACGAGACACGACCUUUAUAGUCAGAAAAAAGUGUGAUUAUUUUCGGAUAUUUUACACAUAUGAUAUUAUGAAUACUGUGGGCCUACAUACCUUAGUGUGAUUAUAAGUGCACGUGAGUGAAUAUUGGCAUGCAACAAGUUUGUUUUU
Molecule: RNA transcript, 2331 nt
Organism: Gymnodraco acuticeps
Lineage: Eukaryota; Metazoa; Chordata; Actinopteri; Perciformes; Bathydraconidae
Exons: 2
Source: RefSeq, a predicted model, not a curated record